UGGGGAAUCUUGCACAAUGGGCGAAAGCCUGAUGCAGCGACGCCGCGUGGGGGAUGAAGCAUCUCGGUGUGUAAACCCCUUUCGAUUCGGACGAAUGCCCGCAAGGGAGUGACGGUACGGAUAUAAGAAGCCCCGGCUAACUACGUGCCAGCAGCCGCGGUAAGACGUAGGGGGCCAGCGUUGUUCGGAAUUACUGGGUGUAAAGGGUUCGUAGGCGGUGCGGCAAGUUGGGAGUGAAAUCUCUGGGCUUAACCCAGAGGCUGCUUCCAAAACUGCUGUGCUCGAGUGUGGGAGAGGCGCGUGGAAUUGCAGGUGUAGCGGUGAAAUGCGUAGAUAUCUGCAGGAACACCCGUGGCGAAAGCGGCGCGCUGGACCACUACUGACGCUGAGGAACGAAGGCUAGGGGAGCAAACAGG
This 416-nucleotide ribosomal RNA is filed under the name Bacillota bacterium. RNAcentral's name for it is "Firmicutes bacterium partial 16S ribosomal RNA". It matches the Rfam family "Bacterial small subunit ribosomal RNA", at positions 355 to 776 of the family's 1533-position model. The record is from RNAcentral. Lineage: Bacteria; Bacillati; Bacillota.